UAUCCUACGGGGGGCAGCAGUGAGGAAUAUUGGUCAAUGAGCGGGAGCCUGAACCAGCCAAGUCGCGUGAGGGAAGACGGUCCUAUGGAUUGUAAACCUCUUUAGGCGGGGAGCAAUGCCGGGCACGCGUGCCCGGAGGGAGAGUACCCGCAGAAUAAGGAUCGGCUAACUCCGUGCCAGCAGCCGCGGUAAUACGGAGGAUUCAAGCGUUAUCCGGAUUUAUUGGGUUUAAAGGGUGCGUAGGCGGUUCGAUAAGUUAGAGGUGAAAUCCCGGGGCUCAACUCCGGCACUGCCUCUGAUACUGU
RNAcentral lists this ribosomal RNA (305 nucleotides) under uncultured bacterium. RNAcentral's name for it is "bacterial SSU rRNA". It matches the Rfam family "Bacterial small subunit ribosomal RNA", at positions 335 to 636 of the family's 1533-position model. The record is from RNAcentral.